Molecule: ribosomal RNA, 676 nt
Filed under: uncultured Staphylococcus sp.
Lineage: Bacteria; Bacillati; Bacillota; Bacilli; Caryophanales; Staphylococcaceae
Description: bacterial SSU rRNA
Rfam family: Bacterial small subunit ribosomal RNA
Source: RNAcentral
GUCGAGCGAACAGACGAGGAGCUUGCUCCUCUGACGUUAGCGGCGGACGGGUGAGUAACACGUGGAUAACCUACCUAUAAGACUGGGAUAACUUCGGGAAACCGGAGCUAAUACCGGAUAAUAUAUUGAACCGCAUGGUUCAAUAGUGAAAGACGGUUUUGCUGUCACUUAUAGAUGGAUCCGCGCCGCAUUAGCUAGUUGGUAAGGUAACGGCUUACCAAGGCAACGAUGCGUAGCCGACCUGAGAGGGUGAUCGGCCACACUGGAACUGAGACACGGUCCAGACUCCUACGGGAGGCAGCAGUAGGGAAUCUUCCGCAAUGGGCGAAAGCUUGACGGAGCAACGCCGCGUGAGUGAUGAAGGUCUUCGGAUCGUAAAACUCUGUUAUUAGGGAAGAACAAAUGUGUAAGUAACUAUGCACGUCUUGACGGUACCUAAUCAGAAAGCCACGGCUAACUACGUGCCAGCAGCCGCGGUAAUACGUAGGUGGCAAGCGUUAUCCGGAAUUAUUGGGCGUAAAGCGCGCGUAGGCGGUUUUUUAAGUCUGAUGUGAAAGCCCACGGCUCAACCGUGGAGGGUCAUUGGAAACUGGAAAACUUGAGUGCAGAAGAGGAAAGUGGAAUUCCAUGUGUAGCGGUGAAAUGCGCAGAGAUAUGGAGGAACACCAGUGGCGAA